RNAcentral lists this long non-coding RNA (833 nucleotides) under Phascolarctos cinereus (koala). RNAcentral's name for it is "lncRNA (ENSPCIG00000036300.1)". The record is from RNAcentral. Lineage: Eukaryota; Metazoa; Chordata; Mammalia; Diprotodontia; Phascolarctidae.
UCCAGUCUUUUUAUAACCGACCAAAAAGUGUAUGACCUUAAAUAUCGGAAUUUAAUUCGACGAGGAAACAUCCUGAGAGCUAUCGCUAUACAAAAGUCAACACCUGAAGCAACAUUUGACAUAGGCAGGUAUGUAACUCUAUCCCCUGCACCAAAUAAUGGGAUCGCUGUGACUUUAAGGCUCUCAAACACACACCUGUAUGUGACUGCAAUGAAGGAAAAUGAACCUAUACAGCUACAGGAGAUUCCAAAGACACCGACCGAGCUUGAUGGUUCUCAGAGUCCCAUCCUCUUCUACUGGACGGAGCACUACUCUUACGGCGGCACCUUUGCCUCUGUUGCCAAUCCAGAACUGCUUCUGGCUACCCAAAACAAGGACGGUGAGCCAGUGAUCAUGGCAAAAGGGCUUCCUGCUCUUGUUCACUUCCUAGUGACUGAGGAGUGAAAGCACACACUGUCAGGAAGGAAAGGACCUCUGCAGCUCUCUUGUCAUUAGAUCGUGUCUUUAAGAGCUGAGAGGGAACCUCAAAGGGCUUCUUGUCUGACUGCUCCAUUUUGCAGGUGGGGAAACUGCUUACCCAAGGUUAGUCAGAAAGUAAGUGUCAGAGGCAAGAUUUGAACCCACACCCUAACUACAGGGCCACCAUACUUUCUGCUGAAUCACACUACUGUAGUCUAGCUGUAUGAUGAUGACAUGUACUGUGUACUCGAUGAAACCAAAUCCUUUACUCUCAGUCAUGUGCCAUGCAGAUGGCUUUAGGGUGAGCCCUUGUCAUUCUGAAUGAAUGUUUGUGAACAAGUUAUGAGAGUCCGGUGGACCCAGCACUAACUCAC